This 275-nucleotide ribosomal RNA is filed under the name uncultured prokaryote. Its description in RNAcentral is "partial 16S ribosomal RNA". It matches the Rfam family "Bacterial small subunit ribosomal RNA", at positions 524 to 798 of the family's 1533-position model. The record is from RNAcentral.
UACGUAGGGGGCUAGCGUUAUCCGGAUUUACUGGGUGUAAAGGGCGUGUAGGCGGAGAUGCAAGUUGGGAGUGAAAUCCCGGGGCUCAACCCCGGAACUGCUUUCAAAACUGCAUCCCUUGAGUAUCGGAGAGGCAAGCGGAAUUCCUAGUGUAGCGGUGAAAUGCGUAGAUAUUAGGAGGAACACCAGUGGCGAAGGCGGCUUGCUGGACGACAACUGACGCUGAGGCGCGAAAGCGUGGGGAGCAAACAGGAUUAGAUACCCUGGUAGUCCCU